CACCUGAGUAUUCUAAGUACUCCUGCCUUCCAAGCAGAAAGAUUAAGUAAACCCUUAAAGAGUGU
RNAcentral lists this transfer RNA (65 nucleotides) under Pectinaria gouldii. RNAcentral's name for it is "tRNA-Gly". The record is from RNAcentral. Lineage: Eukaryota; Metazoa; Annelida; Polychaeta; Terebellida; Pectinariidae.